AGUUCGGAUUGUAGUCUGCAACCCGACUACAUGAAGCUGGAAUCGCUAGUAAUCGCGAAUCAGAAUGUCGCGGUGAAUACGUUCCCGGGUCUUGUACACACCGCCCGUCACACCAUGGGAGUCGGAAAUGCCCGAAGUCAGUGACCUAACCGAAAGGGAGGAGCUGCCGAAGGUGGAGCCGGUAACUGGGGUGAAGUCGUAACAAGGUAAC
RNAcentral lists this ribosomal RNA (211 nucleotides) under uncultured bacterium. Its description in RNAcentral is "partial 16S ribosomal RNA". It matches the Rfam family "Bacterial small subunit ribosomal RNA", at positions 1290 to 1500 of the family's 1533-position model. The record is from RNAcentral.